UACGGAGGGGGCAAGCGUUAUUCGGAAUUAUUGGGCGUAAAGGGCGCGUAGGCGGCUAGAUGUGUCAAAGGUGAAAUCCCUCGGCUCAACUGAGGAACUGCCUUUGAAACUGUCUGGCUUGAGGCCGGGAGAGGGUAGCGGAAUUCCCAGUGUAGCGGUGAAAUGCGUAGAUAUUGGGAGGAACACCAGUGGCGAAGGCGGCUACCUGGACAGGAACUGACACUGAGGCACGAAAGCGUGGGGAGCAAACAGG
RNAcentral lists this ribosomal RNA (253 nucleotides) under uncultured bacterium. RNAcentral's name for it is "partial 16S ribosomal RNA". It matches the Rfam family "Bacterial small subunit ribosomal RNA", at positions 524 to 776 of the family's 1533-position model. The record is from RNAcentral.